This is a non-coding RNA of Carica papaya (papaya), 1298 nucleotides long. NCBI's taxonomy places the organism in Eukaryota, Viridiplantae, Streptophyta, Magnoliopsida, Brassicales, Caricaceae. The record is from RefSeq and is a predicted model, not a curated record.
UGUUCGUAUGUAUUCGGUUGAUAAGAGGUCAGAGUUCCUCAUCGCGUCUUUCCAGUGAAACGCCAUCGUUUCACAGAUCCUCUGUAUUUCAGAAGCCCUGUUUAGCACUUGCUGCUCAACGGCGGGAGAGAGAGGGACGAUGGAUCAAUUCGGAGGUGGGUGGGCAAUGAUUCCAAACGUGCAGACUCACAGUAAUACAUCGACACCAUCAAAUCAGGAUCAUAUAUUUCUCCAGCAGCAGCAGCAGCAGCAAUUUCACUAUCAACAGCAACAGCAGCAAUUCCAACAACAGCAAUUUCAUCAACAACAGCAGUUGCAGCAGGCGCAACAGCAACAGCAACAGCGGACCAUACAACAGCAGCAGCAGCAAAACCAUCACCACCAGUCACUUGCCUCGCACUUCCACCUCCUCCCCGUAGUGGAGAAUUUAGCGGAUGCUAUCGAGAAUGGAACGAGGGACCAGCACUCUGACGCGUUGGUUAAUGACUUGAACAACCAGUUUGAGAAGUGUCAGCAGCUGCUAAACUCGAUUGCCGGAUCCAUCAGCACUAAGGCCAUGACUGUUGAAGGACAGAAGCAAAAGCUUGAGGAAAGUGAACAAUUGCUGAAUCAAAGGAGGGAUCUCAUUGCAAAGUUUAGAAACUCUGUUGAAGACAUUGUCAAGACUGAGCUAUAACUGCUUGUCGCCCUGCCUAACAAGACUUUGUACAAAUGGUUCAUGCUUGGUGUUUAAUCAAAUUAGCUCAUAGGCAUUGAUGUAUGUGAAUGGCCGAACAUUGGUAAAGAAGGAAACAAUUGGGAGUAGAUCUUGUGUCUUUGGUGGGUGAGUACUCAUUUUAUCAAACCACAUUUCUACACUAGUUAUCUAGAUUAAGCCUUCUCUCAUUGUUUAUCAACAAUCUGCUACUUCUCAAGUAAUCACAAGAACAAAGUAAUUCUGAUUCAACCAACCAAAGAGUACAGAUUAACGCCUUUUCAUCUUUUUGGCCUUCUGAUUUCACGUCGAGAUGUUGUUUUUUCUUCUUCAAAUCUUACUUGAUAGGAUGAAGGUGAGCAUCAUAAUACGUGGAAGGUUUGAAGGAGACCCAGAAAAGCUAAAGCUGUAUUUGUAGGAAGAGUGUGGAAUUAUAUACUUUUUGGUUGGUUGAGCAACAGAGUUCAUCCCUGUAUUGUGGCUGAGGAGAGGUGUAAUUCAUAUGACUCAAAAUGUGUUUGAUAUUAGCAUGCCAGUUAUCCAUGGUAUUUUGAAUAUUUAUGGUUAUUUUUGAAAUAAACGGAUAAAAAUGUAUUUUACACGA